This 1488-nucleotide long non-coding RNA is filed under the name Citrus x clementina. RNAcentral describes it as "Citrus clementina (C. clementina) long non-coding RNA (CCLE_LNC002363)". Lineage: Eukaryota; Viridiplantae; Streptophyta; Magnoliopsida; Sapindales; Rutaceae. The record is from RNAcentral.
AACAAAAUCAGGUGGUACCUUACAAUUAUUGUAAGGUAGUUGAGUCAUUGUAAAAUCAAUUAACCACAACUUUUUUAUUUUUACCUUUUCGUGUUCCUAGCUAGAUAAGAUUGGGGGAAAAAAAAUAAUAAAGUUUUCACUUUUUAUUUCAUUCUAGUAAUGGAGUCAUUUUCAUUUUUAGCCCUAUGUCGUGCGAGAUGAAAUUCUCAUGAAGGGCUCUUAGGGACAAUAAUGCAGUAUUACUUUUGUAGUAGUCACUAUCAAUGUUACAACAAAUGCUUAUUGGUAGAAGAUAUUUAAAUAUUUAAUGCCCCAAAUUCUUAUUCUUAUUUUUACUCUUAUUUUUUUAUGUAUUCUGGACCACGAGAUUUCUCUAUUUUUUUUUAUUUUUACUUUGUUAAUUAAUGUAUGCACGCCUGUUCAUUUCUAUUUUCUUUAAUUUGUAUUAACACUAAUGCAACCGAACUUGAUAGUUUUGUCAAGUGCCUACUUUCAAAUCGACUUAAUACAUGCUGGUGUGGGGAAUGAGAGGUGUCAUAACACAUCUCCUUGCUCCAACUCCAAUAUUAGAGUAUAUUUGGGAUUACUUUUGCCAAGAAUCAAUUUCUACUUUGAUUUUUGAAAAAUCAGUUUUAUAAAUAAUGUAGGAGGGCAUUUAAUAAUUACUUUUCUAAUAAUUUACUCCAGAUGUUUGGUAAAUAAAAGUGCAAUAUUCAAUGUACAAUGAAAAAAAUGAGUUUAUUUACUUAUUUGUAAUGUUGGUCUUAGACCGAUUAAUAUUUAAUCUAGAACCACUAAGAUCUCACUGAACUCUCUAAUUAAUGAUUUAAAAACACCAAACAAAUCACUGAGAACAGUGAAUUUGAAAUGGACAUAAAAAUGGACAUAGCCUACAUCCACUGAGAACAGAAUAAAAAAACUCUAUUGAAUCACCGAGAACAAGAUACAAGUGAAGAAGUUACAAGCUUUCAAUCAUGAUUAAUCAGAGUCUCUAAGACUAUAUAUACUGAUCAAGACGACUCUAGGAAGAUCUCAAUUUGGCCAGCUGCUAUUUGUAUUUGUGAUUGUUCUCGCCUUUAUAACCACUAAUGAUGGCCUCCAAUCGGGUUUAAACCACGUGCUGAUCUUGUGACGCUUAUAAGUAAUCGAAAGGAUCCCCCAAGUUGUCGUUUUGAGCCGAAGCAUGAUAAGUGAUAGCACGUGAUAGACACGUGCUCCACGUAAGUGAAAGUCUGACAUUGCGCGGAUGUCGUUUGCUUCGUCUAUUUCUAUAAGGCCGAUAAGUCACACGUACACCAGAAGCCAAAAUGACAAAACAUCCGAGAAUUCAGUUUCGAGAUCGGUACUUCAACGUGUAAUUUGUUUGCAAUUGUAUUAUUUAAAUCAUUUUUUUAUUUACUGCUUAUUUCUUACAGCAUACCUAUUUUAUUUAUUAUAUUUUUAAAUAAUUUUUUCAUUACCUACUUCAUUUGGCUAUAAAUUCAACGU